CAAGCCUGAUCCAGCAAUGCCGCGUGAGUGAAGAAGGCCUUCGGGUUGUAAAGCUCUUUCAGUCGAGAAGAAAAGAUUACUGAUAAUACCAGUAAUCCAUGACGGUAUCGACAGAAGAAGCACCGGCUAACUACGUGCCAGCAGCCGCGGUAAUACGUAGGGUGCGAGCGUUAAUCGGAAUUACUGGGCGUAAAGGGUGCGCAGGCGGUUAUGUAAGUCAGAUGUGAAAUCCCCGGGCUUAACCUGGGAACUGCGUUUGAAACUACAGGACUAGAGUGUGGCAGAGGGGGGUGGAAUUCCAUGUGUAGCAGUGAAAUGCGUAGAGAUAUGGAAGAACAUCGAUGGCGAAGGCAGCCCCCUGGGUUAACACUGACGCUCAUGCACGAAAGCGUGGGGAGCAAACAGGAUUAGAUACCCUGGUAGUCCACGCCCUAAACUAUGUCAACUAGUUGUCGGGUCUUAUUAGACUUGGUAACGUAGCUAACGCGUGAAGUUGACCGCCUGGGGAGUACGGUCGCNAGAUUA
Molecule: ribosomal RNA, 525 nt
Filed under: uncultured bacterium
Lineage: Bacteria
Description: bacterial SSU rRNA
Rfam family: Bacterial small subunit ribosomal RNA
Source: RNAcentral